This 497-nucleotide ribosomal RNA is filed under the name uncultured bacterium. RNAcentral's name for it is "partial 16S ribosomal RNA". It matches the Rfam family "Bacterial small subunit ribosomal RNA", at positions 28 to 507 of the family's 1533-position model. The record is from RNAcentral.
GAUGAACGCUGGCGGCGUGCCUAAUACAUGCAAGUCGAGCGAACAGACGAGGAGCUUGCUCCUCUGACGUUAGCGGCGGACGGGUGAGUAACACGUGGAUAACCUACCUAUAAGACUGGGAUAACUUCGGGAAACCGGAGCUAAUACCGGAUAAUAUAUUGAACCGCAUGGUUCAAUAGUGAAAGACGGUUUUGCUGUCACUUAUAGAUGGAUCCGCGCCGCAUUAGCUAGUUGGUAAGGUAACGGCUUACCAAGGCAACGAUGCGUAGCCGACCUGAGAGGGUGGUCGGCCAAACUGGAACUGAAACACGGUCCAGACUCCUACGGGAGGCAGCAGUAGGGAAUCUUCCGCAAUGGGCGAAAGCCUGACGGAGCAACGCCGCGUGAGUGAUGAAGGUCUUCGGAUCGUAAAACUCUGUUAUUAGGGAAGAACAAAUGUGUAAGUAACUAUGCACGUCUUGACGGUACCUAAUCAGAAAGCCACGGCUAACUACGUG